GUGAUGAAGUUUUUCAUUCUUUAAAAUAAUUAAAAAACAGUUUUUAAUUUUUUUUAGUUAAAGUUAAAAUACGGUUCUUAUAUUAUUCUAAGAACCACAUCUAAAAAUUUUCAAUAAACAUGCCCUUACGUAACACACGCACGUAUAUCAGCCACACUCAUACGCGCGCACGCGCUCACACACACAUAUAUAUAUAUAUACUGGUUCACGCUUUCGACAAAAUUCAAUGUAUAAUCUUUCCUUUUUUUUUUUUCUUUUAUGGUCGAAGUCACUAUUCUCUCAAGUUUAUAUCUGAACAAAUAUAUAUGCUUAUCUACGUUUCAUAUAUGCUUACGUAUGUGCACAUACACAUACGAAAUACGUAUACAUGUCGUACUUUAUAAACCAACAAUGUGCGGGACAUUCUUUAACAAAAACAAUCUUAGGCAUAUGGAGUCUUCGUGUUGGCGUCAGCGUCACUUCCCACCGUUCUUGUUAUCGCCUUAUAGGUUUGAAAUCGGUGAAAACAAAAUCGUUAUAACAGAUGUUUUUUGAAUUUAUAAUAUGACAUCUUAACAAAAUGAAAUGAGUCCUACUUGAUUAAGUUUGUGAGGAAACCAAUGCAACAUAUUUGUUGAUAUUCUUUAAAUUUUGUAACAUAUUGGUGAUGAUUGGUUCGACCGUGGUUUAAAAUAUUUAACCGUAGAUGUUUAGAUGUAGAUAAAUUGGUUGUAGCUGUAAAGUUGUUACUAUAGACUCUUUUUGCAGAGAUUUUUGCUGUAGUUAAAUUUGU
RNAcentral lists this long non-coding RNA (772 nucleotides) under Brassica rapa (field mustard). RNAcentral describes it as "long non-coding RNA (BRAP_LNC002958)". Lineage: Eukaryota; Viridiplantae; Streptophyta; Magnoliopsida; Brassicales; Brassicaceae. The record is from RNAcentral.